RNAcentral lists this transfer RNA (71 nucleotides) under Bacteroidota bacterium. RNAcentral's name for it is "Bacteroidetes bacterium (activated sludge metagenome) tRNA-OTHER". It matches the Rfam family "tRNA". Rfam says of the family: Transfer RNA (tRNA) molecules are approximately 80 nucleotides in length. The record is from RNAcentral. Lineage: Bacteria; Pseudomonadati; Bacteroidota.
UAAGAAGUAGCUCAAUGGAAGAGCAGUCCGCCACGGCGGAAAGGUAAGCGGUUCGAUUCCGUUGUUCUUGA